UAAUACCGGAUAAUAUUUCGAACCGCAUGGUUCGAUAGUGAAAGAUGGUUUUGCUAUCACUUAUAGAUGGACCCGCGCCGUAUUAGCUAGUUGGUAAGGUAACGGCUUACCAAGGCGACGAUACGUAGCCGACCUGAGAGGGUGAUCGGCCACACUGGAACUGAGACACGGUCCAGACUCCUACGGGAGGCAGCAGUAGGGAAUCUUCCGCAAUGGGCGAAAGCCUGACGGAGCAACGCCGCGUGAGUGAUGAAGGUCUUCGGAUCGUAAAACUCUGUUAUUAGGGAAGAACAUACGUGUAAGUAACUAUGCACGUCUUGACGGUACCUAAUCAGAAAGCCACGGCUAACUACGUGCCAGCAGCCGCGGUAAUACGUAGGUGGCAAGCGUUAUCCGGAAUUAUUGGGCGUAAAGCGCGCGUAGGCGGUUUUUUAAGUCUGAUGUGAAAGCCCACGGCUCAACCGUGGAGGGUCAUUGGAAACUGGAAAACUUGAGUGCAGAAGAGGAAAGUGGAAUUCCAUGUGUAGCGGUGAAAUGCGCAGAGAUAUGGAGGAACACCAGUGGCGAAGGCGACUUUCUGGUCUGUAACUGACGCUGAUGUGCGAAAGCGUGGGGAUCAAACAGGAUUAGAUACCCUGGUAGUCCACGCCGUAAACGAUGAGUGCUAAGUGUUAGGGGGUUUCCGCCCCUUAGUGCUGCAGCUAACGCAUUAAGCACUCCGCCUGGGGAGUACGACCGCAAGGUUGAAACUCAAAGGAAUUGACGGGGACCCGCACAAGC
This 780-nucleotide ribosomal RNA is filed under the name Staphylococcus sp. HMSC061F01. RNAcentral's name for it is "bacterial SSU rRNA". It matches the Rfam family "Bacterial small subunit ribosomal RNA", at positions 164 to 930 of the family's 1533-position model. The record is from RNAcentral. Lineage: Bacteria; Bacillati; Bacillota; Bacilli; Caryophanales; Staphylococcaceae.